GAUCCUGGCUCAGAAUCAACGCUGGCGGCGUGCCUCAGACAUGCAAGUCGAACGCGAAAGUUCCCUUCGGGGAACGAGUAGAGUGGCGUCCGGGUGAGUAACACGUGAGUAAUUUGCCUUCGGGUGGGGAAUAACAGCCGGAAACGGCUGCUAAUACCGCAUGAUGCAGCGGCACCUCAUGGUGACAGUUGUUAAAGCGGGGGAUCGCAAGACCUCGCGCCUGAAGAGAAGCUCGCGGCAGAUUAGCUAGUUGGUAGGGUAACGGCCUACCAAGGCAACGAUCUGUAGCCGGCCUGAGAGGGCGGUCGGCCACACUGACACUGACACACGGGUCAGACUCCUACGGGAGGCAGCAGUUGGGAAUUUUGGGCAAUGGGCGAAAGCCUGACCCAGCAACGCCGCGUGAAGGAUGAAGUUUUUCGGAAUGUAAACUUCACAAGAAUGGGAAGAAUAAGCCGGGGUUAAUACCCCCGGUGAUGACGGUACCAUUUGUAAGCUCCGGCUAACUCCGUGCCAGCAGCCGCGGUAAUACGGGGGGAGCAAGCGUUGUUCGGAUUUACUGGGCGUAAAGGGCGCGUAGGCGGCGCAACAAGUCAGUUGUGAAAUCUCUGGGCUUAACCCAGAGCGGUCAACUGAUACUGUCGUGCUAGAGUGCGGAGGGGGCAACUGGAAUUCUCGGUGUAGCGGUGA
This 690-nucleotide ribosomal RNA is filed under the name uncultured Acidobacteriota bacterium. RNAcentral's name for it is "bacterial SSU rRNA". It matches the Rfam family "Bacterial small subunit ribosomal RNA", at positions 15 to 684 of the family's 1533-position model. Lineage: Bacteria; Pseudomonadati; Acidobacteriota. The record is from RNAcentral.